UUUUAACCGAACACAAAGAAAAGUAAGAAAUGAACCUAUAUGACUCGCUCCUGGUAACUGUUAGCUGUCAAUCAUGGCAUACUAAAAAACGUAUAAAUGAGAACUUUCGGAGAAUUUACAACGAUGCUUAAUUCUCGUAUAGUCUUUCUCGAAUUACAAACGGAAAAUGCGUUUUGCAAGCCGUCAAAUCAAAAUUCCAUACCCAUCCUUUCUUCUACUGACUACUUUGGCUGAAUUAUUGUGAAAUUUUUGUAAAAACUGACAUUCGUCGACAGUGUGUUGUUAUAAAUGUAGCACGGAAUCAAAAUAUUUACCUAUUUGAAACACUCUUGACAAGACGACGACAGAGCAUAAUGAAGAAGUUGAUUUUGGUAAUUUAUGUACUUAUGACGAUUAUAGUGGCUGAAUGUGCAAAAUCAAAGAGGCCGAAAAUAAAAUUCUGUCCCAUGAUGUCUUCAAUGCCUCCAAACUACUGCCCACCAAAGCUGCCACCAAAGAAAUGUGUUGGAAAAAACAAGAACCCCUGCAAAGACAGCAAGUGCUCAAAACGUGGAGCAAGAUGUGUCCCAAAUUAUUGUGGAUCUUGCCACGCUUGCUGGUAUACUAACCCUUUUGUGGUGGCUAAGGAUUGUUAAUCAAUUAUGAAAAUCAUUGAGUUAAUUAAGAAAAAGGAAUCAUAAUUUUGACCUAUUGUUACAUAAUAGUUGACAUGUAUAAAAAGUAUAAUCAGAUAAUUCGAGAAUCAAAUAUAACUCUUUGAUGAAAUAUAUUUGUCUGUAUUGGAGAGUGAUUAAUGGGGGAUCGGGUGAGUGCAUUAUAUCUAAAUGACGCAUCCAUCUAUAAUAUUUAACACAUUGUGCGGGUAUGUACUUGUUUUAAUUAUCGUCAAUAGACCUUAAAAAACUUUUGAAGAACUUCUAAUAUUUCAAAUAAAUCUGUUCUCACAAGAAAAUUGUUUCAAAAUUUUCUAUAUGUUUCCAAGCUUAUGUUAAUAGUUAGUUAGAACGAUUGCUUUGUUAGCUAUUCUAUUUUCACUCAUGUUCAAAUAUGGUUUGAAUACUCCCGACGAAUGACUUAGUUUCAGUAGUUAUCCAGGAUAAAUAGUAGUUAUCGUAUAGGUGAAACCUUCCUUUGCCCAUGUCAAGGUAACGCACAAAUUAUAGACUCUUGGUCGCAGUUCGUAUAGUAAAGUGUUGAUGAAAGACGGACAUAUUGAAUAAUUGCACAUGGGUAUGAUUAAUCGAUACAGUCAUUCAUCACAUCUAUUUCCCCACCUAUUACUAAUGAUGAAUUAGAAUGCCAAUAACUUCCACACUGUCGAUGAUAUUGAUCAAAAGCUGUACACAAUUUAACAAAUUCAAUGCAAGGAGUUUAAACUGGUAUCAUAUUCAGAUUUUUCUACUUUGAGCUAGAUAUGAUAUUUUUUGUGAGAAUAAGUAAUACUAUAUGUGGUAUUAUAAUUAUAAAUGAUUUAAAUUGUCUGCUGUGAAAUUCAAUUCUUCAGGCCUUCAGAGAGGAAUACUUUUGGAACUGGUUCUUCCGAUCUUUAUUUACUAUAUUGAAAAUUUAUUUUUGGAAUAUACUGAUAAUUGUUAUCCACACCAAUCAAUGUCUUCUUCUCAAAUUUCUACUUGUUUCACAAUUCCACAGGUUAUGUGUAACAUAUUCCUGGCAAUGCAUUUUUGUGGCAGACUUGGCUUUACUGAUUUUAUAUACUGUGUAUCUAGAUCAAGACUAUGUAAUAUGAUAUUGAAUCUGAUUCUUACUUUCUUCAUGACAGUUACCAUGGAAACUUGUCUGACAUGCAGUGGUAGCUCGAACUUAAUGAAAUUUUGAAUCAGAAUCGUGUUUAUUUGCUUAUGUCUGUGAUAUAUUUUUAAUUAUACACUAUUGGCUGAA
Styela clava is the source of this 1899-nucleotide non-coding RNA. NCBI's taxonomy places the organism in Eukaryota, Metazoa, Chordata, Ascidiacea, Stolidobranchia, Styelidae. The record is from RefSeq and is a predicted model, not a curated record.